UCAGGACGAACGCUGCGGCGUGCCUAAUACAUGCAAGUCGAACGGUCUUUCUAUGGAAGCUUGCUUCCACUGAGAAGAUAGUGGCGAACGGGUGAGUAACACGUGGGUAACCUGCCCAUAAGAGGGGGAUAACAUCCGGAAACGGGUGCUAAUACCGCAUAGUUUUCUUGAUCGCAUGAUCGGGAAAGGAAAGACGGCCUUUGUGCUGUCGCUUAUGGAUGGACCCGCGGCGUAUUAGUUAGUUGGCGAGGUAAUGGCUCACCAAGACGAUGAUACGUAGCCGACCUGAGAGGGUGAUCGGCCACAUUGGGACUGAGACACGGCCCAAACUCCUACGGGAGGCAGCAGUAGGGAAUCUUCCGCAAUGGACGAAAGUCUGACGGAGCAACGCCGCGUGAGUGAAAGAAGGUUUUCGGAUCGUAAAACUCUGUUGUCAGAGAAGAACAAGUUGGAGAGUAACUGCUCCAGCCUUGACGGUAUCUGACCAGAAAGCCACGGCUAACUACGUGCCAGCCGCGGC
Molecule: ribosomal RNA, 520 nt
Filed under: uncultured bacterium
Lineage: Bacteria
Description: bacterial SSU rRNA
Rfam family: Bacterial small subunit ribosomal RNA
Source: RNAcentral